CCUACGGGGGGCAGCAGUAGGGAAUCUUUCACAAUGUGCGAAAGCCUGAUGGAGCAACGCCGCGUGCAGGAUGAAGGCCUUCGGGUUGUAAACUGCUUUUAUAAGCGAGAAAUAUGUUGGUAACUUAUGAAUAAGGAUCUGCUAACUACGUGCCAGCAGCCGCGGUCAUACGUAGGAUCCGAGCCUUCUCCGUGGUGACUGGGUGUAAAGAGUUGCGUAGGUGUCAUAAUAAGUAGCUAGAGAAAUAUGGUGGCUCAACCAUUCAGACUAUUAGCGAAACUGUUAAGCUAGAGACCGUUAGGGGUAAGUGGAAUUUCUAGUGUAGGAGUGAAAUGCGUAGAUAUUAGAAAGAACACCAAUGGCGUAGGCAGGUUACUGGGACGGUUCUGACACUAAGGCACGAAAGCGUAGGGAGCAAACGGGAUUAGAUACCCUUGUAGUC
Molecule: ribosomal RNA, 442 nt
Filed under: uncultured bacterium
Lineage: Bacteria
Description: partial 16S ribosomal RNA
Rfam family: Bacterial small subunit ribosomal RNA
Source: RNAcentral